UACGUAGGUGGCAAGCGUUGUCCGGAUUUACUGGGCGUAAAGAGCGCGCAGGCGGUCGUUCAAGUCGGGUGUGAAAGCCCCCGGCUCAACUGGGGAGGGUCACGCGAUACUGAUCGACUCGAAGGCAGGAGAGGGUAGUGGAAUUCCCGGUGUAGUGGUGAAAUGCGUAGAUAUCGGGAGGAACACCAGUGGCGAAGGCGACUACCUGGCCUGUUUCUUGACGCUGAGGCGCGAAAGCUAGGGGAGCAAACAGG
Molecule: ribosomal RNA, 254 nt
Filed under: uncultured bacterium
Lineage: Bacteria
Description: partial 16S ribosomal RNA
Rfam family: Bacterial small subunit ribosomal RNA
Source: RNAcentral